This 370-nucleotide ribosomal RNA is filed under the name uncultured bacterium. RNAcentral's name for it is "bacterial SSU rRNA". It matches the Rfam family "Bacterial small subunit ribosomal RNA", at positions 434 to 793 of the family's 1533-position model. The record is from RNAcentral.
CAGCAGUGAGGAAGGGUUCAUGCGUUAAUAGCGUAUGGAUUUGACGUUAGCUGCAGAAGAAGACACCGGCUAACUACCGUGCCAGCAGCCGCGGUAAUACGGAGGGUGCGAGCGUUAAUCGGAAUUACUGGGCGUAAAGCGCAUGCAGGUGGUUUGUUAAGUCAGAUGUGAAAGCCCGGGGCUCAACCUCGGAAUUGCAUUUGAAACUGGCAGACUAGAGUACUGUAGAGGGGGGUAGGAAGUUUCAGGUGUAGCGGUGAAAUGCGUAGAGAUCUGAAGGAAUACCGGUGGCGAAGGCGGCCCCCUCGGACAGAUACUGACACUCAGAUGCGAAAGCGUGGGGAGCAAACAGGAUUAGAUACCCUGGUAG